Bos taurus (domestic cattle) is the source of this 758-nucleotide long non-coding RNA. The record is from Ensembl. NCBI's taxonomy places the organism in Eukaryota, Metazoa, Chordata, Mammalia, Artiodactyla, Bovidae.
GUAAUCCUAGUCCUCUCUGCUCUUAUUGAUUGGUUGGACCAAUCAACUGACCCCAUUCUGGCCAAUGAGAUAAAAGGGCUGCUCUGGAACGGGUUUUCUCUUUUGUCAUCCUGCUGCUGCUGCUGCUGCUGCUGCUGCUGCUAAGUCGCUUCAGUUGUGUCCGUCUCUCACCAGGCUCCCUCGUCCCUGGCAUUCUCCAGGCAAGAACACUGGAGUGGGUUGCCAUUUCCUUCUCCAAUGCGUGAAAGUGAAAAGUGAAAGUGAAGUCGCUCAGUUGUGUCCGACUCUUCGCGACCCCAUGGACGGCAGCCUACCAGGCUUCUCCGUCCAUGGGAUUUUCCAGGCAAGAGUACUGGAGUGGGUCGCCAGUGCCUUCUCCCGCUUUUGUCAUAAAGGAGAGGAAAAGGGGUUGAUGGUUUCGCCUUUUCUUCUCACCUUUAAGUGUGUUUUUUGAGGUGAUAGUGGUUAGAGCUCGAGGGACAAUAUUUCUAAUUCACUGAGGAUGAAAUGGAGUGCACGGACGAAGGACACCUUGGAGCAACAGAACCAAUUGCUCUGCUGACUCUUCUGGGCUCCUCGUUCUGUGAGACCUCACCUCCUCUGAAGACACAGAACUUCCUGCCAGCUCCCGAAACAGCCUUGGAAGUGGUGGGCAUCAUGACUCACGGUCAGUGAAAGGCAAAGGAGAAAAGGAAAGAUAAAAGCAUCUGAAUGCAGAGUUCGAAAGAAUAGCAAGGAGAGAUAAGAAAGCCUUCCUC